Molecule: ribosomal RNA, 493 nt
Filed under: uncultured bacterium
Lineage: Bacteria
Description: bacterial SSU rRNA
Rfam family: Bacterial small subunit ribosomal RNA
Source: RNAcentral
GAUGAACGCUAGCUACAGGCUUAACACAUGCAAGUCGGAGGGGCAGCAUGUCGGUUGCUUGCAACCGAUGAUGGCGACCGGCGCACGGGUGAGUAACGCGUAUCCAACCUACCCUUGUCCAUCGGAUAACCCGUCGAAAGGCGGCCUAACACGAUAUGCGGUUCUCAGCAGGCAUCUAACGAGAACGAAAUGUGAAGGAGAAGGAUGGGGAUGCGUCUGAUUAGCUUGUUGGCGGGGUAACGCCCACCAAGGCUACGAUCAGUAGGGGUUCUGAGAGGAACGGUCCCCCANAUUGGAACUGAGACACGGUCCAAACUCCUACGGGAGCAGCAGUGAGAAUAUGGUCAAUGGGGCGCGAGCCUGAACCGGCCAAGUCGCGUGAAGGAUGAAGGUUCUAUGGAUUGUAAACUUCUUUUAUGGGGGAAUAAAGUGCGGGAUGCGUCCUGUUUUGUAUGUACCUCAUGAAUAAGCAUCGGCUAACUCCGUGCCAGCA